AUACGGAGGGUGCAAGCGUUAAUCGGAAUUACUGGGCGUAAAGCGUACGUAGGCGGUUAGUUAAGUUAGAUGUGAAAGCCCCGGGCUUAACCUGGGAACUGCAUUUAAAACUGGCUAACUAGAGUUAAGUAGAGGGGAGUGGAAUUUCAGGUGUAGCGGUGAAAUGCGUAGAGAUCUGAAGGAACACCAGUGGCGAAGGCGACUCCCUGGACUUGAUCUGACGCUGAGGUACGAAAGCGUGGGUAGCAAACGGGAUUAGAAACCCCUGUAGUCC
Molecule: ribosomal RNA, 274 nt
Filed under: uncultured bacterium
Lineage: Bacteria
Description: partial 16S ribosomal RNA
Rfam family: Bacterial small subunit ribosomal RNA
Source: RNAcentral